This 519-nucleotide ribosomal RNA is filed under the name uncultured eukaryote. RNAcentral describes it as "SSU rRNA". It matches the Rfam family "Eukaryotic small subunit ribosomal RNA", at positions 1161 to 1699 of the family's 1831-position model. The record is from RNAcentral.
AGGGCACCACCAGGAGUGGAGCCUGCGGCUUAAUUUGACUCAACACGGGGAAACUUACCCGGCCUGGACACUGGAAGGAUUGACAGAUUGAGAGCUCUUUCUUGAUUCAGUGGGUGGUGGUGCAUGGCCGUUCUUAGUUGGUGGAGCGAUUUGUCUGGUUAAUUCCGAUAACGAACGAGACUCUAGCCUAUUAAAUAGGCUCUCGGCUUUUAAACGCCGGGAGGACUUCUUAGAGGGACAGGUGGCGGUUCAGCCGCACGAAAGAGAGCAAUAACAGGUCUGUGAUGCCCUUUGUUGUCCGGGGCCGCACGCGCGCUACACUGAAGAGAUCAGCGUGCUUUACGUUCCUGCUCCGACCGGAGUGGGGAACCCAGUGAACCUUCUUCGUGAUUGGGAUAGAAGAUUGUAAUUAUUCUUCUUGAACGAGGAAUUCCCAGUAAAUGCGAGUCAUAAGCUCGCGUUGAUUACGUCCCUGCCCUUUGUACGCACCGCCCGUCGCUACUACCGAUUGAACGAUUU